Molecule: long non-coding RNA, 108 nt
Organism: Aquila chrysaetos chrysaetos
Lineage: Eukaryota; Metazoa; Chordata; Aves; Accipitriformes; Accipitridae
Exons: 3
Source: RefSeq, a predicted model, not a curated record
CUGCAUUAAGCCAAAUUUCCAAACUGUGUUUCUGAAGUAAUAGGCUCAUCUUACCAAAAAAGUUUAAAGCAGCACAAUUCCUGUAAGGCUCUACUUACUAAAAAAGUU